Molecule: long non-coding RNA, 2159 nt
Organism: Lepidothrix coronata (blue-crowned manakin)
Lineage: Eukaryota; Metazoa; Chordata; Aves; Passeriformes; Pipridae
Exons: 3
Source: RefSeq, a predicted model, not a curated record
AAUUAAAUAUGUGAGGUCUUUGUCAGGAUGGCAAUUGGCAUUUAAUUUAUGUGGCAGCACUGUAGUGGUGUUACUCCCUUAGAACCUGGGAAAAUGGGCUUUGGAACACGUUUCACAGGGUCAGAAAGAGGAGGAGUGCCAAGUAAACAUUAUCUUUUGGGUUUGAACUCACUAAUGCUGUUGAUCCAGGGGUUUCCUGUUCCAAAGACAAUCCUGAACCUCUGGGUGAGAGAGGGAAAAUGAAUAUUAUAGCAUGUAUCCUACUCUGUCUUCCAUAAGUAUCUGCUGGGCUGCCUUUUAAAUUGAAGUUUUCUGAUGAGAAUACAUGGGGAAAAAAUUCCAUUUUCUGGGAAGACUUGAAUUUAUACCUUGUAACUCCUGAUGGUUCAUUUCUGAGAGGAAGAGAAGGAGAGACUGGGAAAUGGAAGGAAGUGACCUCUGGUUCUCUAUUGAAUGGGCUGAGAAUUUAAAAUGGCACAAAAGUGUGUCUCAAUUUCCUUUGUACGUUUAAAAGACUGUAAGGCAGAAAUUUGGUCCAUUUUAAUCUUUAUUUUUAGGGUAGAAUCGAAGCAAGUAGUCCCAGCAGGACCCUCCCUGUUUGAACACAGAGAUGUUACGCAGGGACAUGUAGAAAUCUGUCUUGGGCAAUUCUGAGCUUUGAUUCAAGUUUGAGGUGACUAAUUGUGAACUGCUUUCACCUUGUCAUGAGGAAUAGAAACGGGGAGAAGAUUGAUUAUGAAAGGAUUUUCUUCAUUUCCUCUUUUCUUUCUCACUUUGGCUUCAAUCUAAAUGAUGUAGUUGGGUGCACCCGUUAUUGAGAAGGGAUCAAAUAUUGCAUUCUGAUAAUAAAAGUAGAGUCGAGUCUGUGACAGAAAUCCCAGCUGAUAUAAAAGAAGAUUUCUGAGCGUGGCUUUGUAGAGGAAAAAAAAAAAAAAGAAAAGAAGAUUUUACGCUUUGGGGAGUCUCAGAAAUAGGCAGCAGGGAAUAAAUUGUGAUGGUUGUUUCAAUCUAGAUUUCUGUCAGGAGAAAAAUCAGUCUGAGCCACUGAGGAAUAAGGCAGAGAGAAGCUCAGGUAUCCAGUUGGGUUUGGUCCUUCCUAACCAAAGAAAGAAGCCAAAAUGUGUUAUUUGGAUUGCAGUGCAGCGUGAGAGUGGAGGAGAUGACAUGUGUGCACAGGCUUUCUGGUUUCAUGAAAAGUUCUCUAAUAUUUCUCCCUCAUUUCAGCAGAUCACUAUUACAAAAGCUGAUGGUCAGAGGUUCCCGAAAGCAGCUGGCACAGAGGUAAUGUCAGAGGGGCAGGGAGUGAUGUUCACCCUUGGAUGGAAUUGUGCUUCUGGAAGUGCAUGGAAAGGGCCUGGGAAGCAGCAGAGCUGCAAUCAGCUCCACAACCUAGAUAUGGACAUUAACAAGAGGAACAGUAAAGCCUCAGAAGCUCAGAAACCCUCUUAAAGGGGGAGUACACAAAUAAGUGAGACUUGAGCACUCUAAGUAAUAUAAACAUUGCAGCCAGAGGAGAAAAGAAGCAAGAAAGCAGGAGAGCUAAUGUUUCACACCAAAGCCCUGAAUUCUUCAGGAAUGUUAAAGAAGCACCAUAAUUUUCCCCUUUUCUAUAAGAGUUGAAUAUUGCUUAUUUGAAAGUUGUCUCCUCUGCCUUUUCUCCGUCCAAAUGGUCUUACUGGUGUCACAUAGAUUGAAAGUAACUAACCAAGGUAAGUCCCCAUUGUCAGAGAAUUGAGGGGCAACACUGUGCAAUGUUUUCUCUGGAGUUUUUUUAAUUGGGACCCUGCCUGUGUGCUACAUGUCCUUUUGAUUUUCAGCAAGCUUGAUUUAAAUCAUAACACUGGAAGUAAAAUGUGUAUGUGGGGGGGGGAAGGUUUUUCGAGUAGUCUGAGUAACGAAAGAAUUUAUAAUAGAAAAUAAAACCUUUCAAGUUUCUUUUUCCCUCUUCAUCAUUUGUGUGGUUAGUCUGCUGCUAAAAGUAUUUAUGCUCCUAUCUCUAGUCUUUCUAAUUGUGAGCAUGUUGCCUUUUCCCCCUGCCAUGCCGUGCUUUUUAAUUCUACUUGUUGCUGUAGCAUCCAGAAGCAAAUAACAUGAUGAAAACCUCUUAAUGCACUUUACUGUACAGCAAAACAGGAAGACAUAGUUUUUCCAGUCUCCAA